RNAcentral lists this ribosomal RNA (460 nucleotides) under uncultured bacterium. RNAcentral's name for it is "partial 16S ribosomal RNA". It matches the Rfam family "Bacterial small subunit ribosomal RNA", at positions 338 to 795 of the family's 1533-position model. The record is from RNAcentral.
CCUACGGGCGGCAGCAGUGAGGAAUAUUGGUCAAUGGACGAGAGUCUGAACCAGCCAAGUAGCGUGAAGGAUGACUGCCCUAUGGGUUGUAAACUUCUUUUAUAUGGGAAUAAAAUGUUCCACGUGUGGGAUUUUGUAUGUACCAUGUGAAUAAGGAUCGGCUAACUCCGUGCCAGCAGCCGCGGUAAUACGGAGGAUCCGAGCGUUAUCCGGAUUUAUUGGGUUUAAAGGGAGCGUAGGUGGAUUGUUAAGUCAGUUGUGAAAGUUUGCGGCUCAACCGUAAAAUUGCAGUUGAAACUGGCAGUCUUGAGUACAGUAGAGGUGGGCGGAAUUCGUGGUGUAGCGGUGAAAUGCUUAGAUAUCACGAAGAACUCCGAUUGCGAAGGCAGUUCACUGGACUGCAACUGACACUGAGGCUCGAAAGUGUGGGUAUCAAACAGGAUUAGAUACCCUUGUAGUC